AACCUGCUGGGCCCCCUGAGGAAGUGGGGAGAGCCCCAGCGAAGGUACCAGCCAACAGCCAGCAUUGACCACCAGAUGUGUAAAUGAAUGAACCUUCAGAUGACUCCAGCCCCACUUUGAGUCUUUUGGCUGAGCCCCAGACACCGUGGAGCAGACUAGAUGUCCUCACAAUGCCCUGUGUGAAUUCCUGACCUACGGCAACCAUGACAAAUGAGAGUGACGUCAGCAUCAUGGCGGAGUGAGCUUUCCCGUGAACUCUUCCCCCGACAAGAUACAACAAGAGGGACAGUCACAGACCAACAACGGAAUCCCAGACAGUGAAAAACUGGAGUGGAAAGAUCCACACUGCCGCACAUCUGAGAGCGGAACGUGCUGGGCCCCCGGAGGAAGUGGGGAGAGGUAAGGAGAACUCCUCUCCCUCCCCAUCAGAUCAGCGAUCCCGGUCUGCAUGGCUCCCAGAGAGGGGAGAGGGGCGGCCCUCGGCGGGGAAACCGUAGCUCUUCGACAGUCUCAGCCAGUGGGAAACUCCCGCACA
Molecule: long non-coding RNA, 535 nt
Organism: Diceros bicornis minor
Lineage: Eukaryota; Metazoa; Chordata; Mammalia; Perissodactyla; Rhinocerotidae
Exons: 3
Source: RefSeq, a predicted model, not a curated record